UAUAAAAUCAUUUAAGUUGGAAACGAUGCUUGAGAUCAUCGAGUCCAAUCUUUAAUGCAGCACUGCCAAGUCCAUCACUAAACCAUGUCCCUAAG
Strigops habroptila (Kakapo) is the source of this 95-nucleotide long non-coding RNA. RefSeq lists it as uncharacterized. Lineage: Eukaryota; Metazoa; Chordata; Aves; Psittaciformes; Psittacidae. The record is from RefSeq and is a predicted model, not a curated record. The transcript is spliced from 3 exons.